GAUGAACGCUGGCGGCGUGCCUAAUACAUGCAAGUCGAGCGAACGGACGAGAAGCUUGCUUCUCUGAUGUUAGCGGCGGACGGGUGAGUAACACGUGGAUAACCUACCUAUAAGACUGGGAUAACUUCGGGAAACCGGAGCUAAUACCGGAUAAUAUUUUGAACCGCAUGGUUCAAAAGUGAAAGACGGUCUUGCUGUCACUUAUAGAUGGAUCCGCGCUGCAUUAGCUAGUUGGUAAGGUAACGGCUUACCAAGGCAACGAUGCAUAGCCGACCUGAGAGGGUGAUCGGCCACACUGGACCUGAGACACGGUCCAGACUCCUACGGGAGGCAGCAGUAGGGAAUCUUCCGCAAUGGGCGAAAGCCUGACGGAGCAACGCCGCGUGAGUGAUGAAGGUCUUCGGAUCGUAAUACUCUGUUAUUAGGGAAGAACAUAUGUGUAAGUAACUGUGCACAUCUUGACGGUACCUAAGCAGAAAGCCACGGCUAACUACGU
RNAcentral lists this ribosomal RNA (496 nucleotides) under uncultured bacterium. RNAcentral describes it as "partial 16S ribosomal RNA". It matches the Rfam family "Bacterial small subunit ribosomal RNA", at positions 28 to 506 of the family's 1533-position model. The record is from RNAcentral.